Molecule: ribosomal RNA, 280 nt
Filed under: Faecalibacterium prausnitzii
Lineage: Bacteria; Bacillati; Bacillota; Clostridia; Eubacteriales; Oscillospiraceae
Description: partial 16S ribosomal RNA
Rfam family: Bacterial small subunit ribosomal RNA
Source: RNAcentral
UAUGGUAAUUGCCAGCCGCCGCGGUAAAACGUAGGUCACAAGCGUUGUCCGGAAUUACUGGGUGUAAAGGGAGCGCAGGCGGGAAGACAAGUUGGAAGUGAAAUCCAUGGGCUCAACCCAUGAACUGCUUUCAAAACUGUUUUUCUUGAGUAGUGCAGAGGUAGGCGGAAUUCCCGGUGUAGCGGUGGAAUGCGUAGAUAUCGGGAGGAACACCAGUGGCGAAGGCGGCCUACUGGGCACCAACUGACGCUGAGGCUCGAAAGUGUGGGUAGCAAACAGG